RNAcentral lists this signal recognition particle RNA (298 nucleotides) under Cebus imitator (Panamanian white-faced capuchin). RNAcentral's name for it is "Metazoan signal recognition particle RNA (ENSCCAG00000011772.1)". It matches the Rfam family "Metazoan signal recognition particle RNA". Rfam says of the family: The signal recognition particle (SRP) is a universally conserved ribonucleoprotein. It is involved in the co-translational targeting of proteins to membranes. Lineage: Eukaryota; Metazoa; Chordata; Mammalia; Primates; Cebidae. The record is from RNAcentral.
UCUAGGUGCAGUGACGUGUGCCUGUAGUCCCAGCUACUCAGGAGGCUGAGGCUGGAGGAUCGCUUGAGUCCAGGAGUUCUGGGCUGUAGUGCGCUGUGUGGAUCGGGUGUCCACACUGAGUUCAGCAUCAAUGUGGUGACCUCCUGGGAGCGGGGACCGCCAGGUUGCCUAAGGAGGGGUAAACCGGCCAAGGUAGGAAACAGAGCAGGUCAAAACUCCCGUGCUGAUCAGUAGUGGGAUCAUGCCUGUGAAUAGCCACUGCCCUCCAGCCUGGGCAACAUAGAGAGACCUGGUCUCU